CGGGCCCAGAGAACCAAAGGAGGGCAAAGGGACUCUGCCCUAAAUUAGUCAAAGGUAACAAUAGCAGCUAGAAUUGAUUGACCCAAGAAAAAAUUACAAGAACUUUACCUGCAUUUGCUCAUUUAAUCCUUUCAGUAAGGUACAUGGGUGCUACUUAGUGUUCCUCUUUUACAGGGGUGUCCAGAGAAGGUAACUACUUUGCCCAUGUCCUAAACUGAUGGAAAACAGUCGGGUGACCUCAGGUUGGCCAACUGCACCCCUCUCUUGGAUUUUGAAUUACAAAUAAAUGAUGUAAAGAAGCAAGGCCAGCAGUGCUGGGUCAACCUCCUGUUUCCUGUUCCUGCUUGGUAGCAAGGCCAGCUAGGACUUAUAACAUCACUUUGGCCUGAUCCUAUAAUUGCAAUAGCAUAGCCUUGGCUUUCGGUUGUUUAGUCUGCUUCUAGUUACUGAGACCUAACCAUAAACUUCCAAAAGUUUCCUUUUCUGCUCAAAUUAGCCGUAUCUGGUUCCUGAUGAUUACAAAUAAGACCUUUCCUGAUAUACAAUGGUGACCUACUUAUCCAGGCAGAUGUAACAUCGUCCUGGCAGCGACAGAGGGCAGGCAAGUUCCUUGAACAGCUGAACAAGAAGAAAAAGACCUAAGAAGCAAGAAUUGAAGCCAGUUCUGCUUGUGUUAUAAUUCUACCCGCAGCUGCCUCUGUUUCACAGACCACAUGCUAAGGACCAUGUCCCUUCCCUUGUAACAGACGAGCAAAGUAGACCCAGGCCUUCCAACCCAGAGACCAGCUGAGCUGUACCGUGGACAAUCUAGGAUGUGAAAGACUUCACUCAAUGUCUUUGUCACUUGACACAUUGUUCCUCUCUUUGGGAA
Molecule: long non-coding RNA, 871 nt
Organism: Aethalodelphis obliquidens (Pacific white-sided dolphin)
Lineage: Eukaryota; Metazoa; Chordata; Mammalia; Artiodactyla; Delphinidae
Exons: 2
Source: RefSeq, a predicted model, not a curated record